ACACCACGGUUCGCCAGGGAGACCCGUCCCGGCGGCCCUCGCGGCACACCGGAAGCGGCCGGCGGCGCGUGACGGCGUGUGACCCCCCCCUCCUCGCGCAAGCGCAAGAGCCCAGCCCUAGCUGGCCAGCCGGCCCGUAGGAACUGCGCAGAGGCUCGCAGCGGAGGGGACUGCUAACACGGACGGACUGCUUCCGGCCACAGCUCCGGGGCGGCGGAGGAAGCUGUGGCUGCCGGCUGUGGGACACCCCGGCCGCUCAGCCCACGGGCACUGCUGUGGGGCGUUCAGUUGUCCACACUUGUGGCAAAACAAGCCGCGAGCAGGAAGGAUAUGACGCUGUUCACUGCGAACCAGCCUUGUUCCCUGGAAAUUGCAAACAAGGGGAACAAGAAAUGUUGACAGUUCUCCCCGGAGAAAAAAAGGAAGGUUGUGGAAGCUGUGGACUCAGGCAUGAGGAAAGGCGACGUUGCCUUCUUACAGGAUCGCACCAAAUUUGAAGAAAAGGUGCGGGAGGCCUCUGUGGGUGCACAGCAGAAAAGGAUGAGGAAUGCACUCCAUGACGACACUCAAGGCCGGUGCCGUGGCUCACUAGGCUAAUCCUCCGCCUUGCGGCGCCGGCACACCGGGUUCCAGUCCUGGUCGGGGCACCGGAUUCUGUCCCGGUUGCCCCUCUUCCAGGCCAGCUCUCUGCUGUGGCCAGGGAGUGCAGUGGAGGAUGGCCCAAGUACUUGGGCCCUGCACCCCAUGGGAGACCAGGAGAAGCACCUGGCUCCUGCCAUCGGAUCAGUGCGGCGGCCAUUGGAGGGGGAACCAACGGCAAAAGGAAGACCUUUCUCUCUGUCUCUCUCUCUCACUGUCUACUCUGUCAAAAAAAAAAAAAAAAAAAAAAGACACUGAUAAGGCUGUUUUUGCUUGGUUUCAAGAAAUCCAUGCCAAAAAAUGUUCUUGUGACUGGUUCCGUCAUUCAGAAAAAAGCACUAAACUUGGCCAACAUGCUUGGCUAUGACAAUUUUCAAGCAAGUGUGGCCUGGCUACAGAUUUAGAGACCCCCAUGGAAUUGCUUUGAAAGCAGUCUGCAGAGAAGACAGUGACAGGUUAAUGCAUGGUCUAGGAAUAGAUAAGGUUAACGAAUGGCGUGCAGGGAAAAUUAUAAAACGGAUUGCUGAUUACAGCCCAGAUGAUGUGUGUAAUGCUGAUGAGACAGGAGUGUUUUUCCAGUUGCUUCCCCAGCACACAUUUGCUGCUAAAGGGGACCAUUGUAGAGGGGGCAAGCACAGUGGUUGACAGCACCCUUUUGUUGCAAUACUUCAGGGACUGAAAAAAUGCGACCAUUGAUUGCUGGUAGGUCAGCCAGCCCACGAUGCCUCAAGAAUGUGCAUUCCCUCCCCUGCGAGCACCAGGCCAACCAGUGUGCAUGGAUGACCAGGGAUCUGUUUAAUGAGUGGCUGAUGCAAGUGGAUGCCAGGAUGAAGCCGGUGGAACACCGGAUCCUCCUGCUCAUUGACAACCGCUCUGUUCACAGCGUGCUGCCUCGGCUGAAGCGGAUUCAAGUGGGGUAUCUCCCCUCCAACUGUACUGCUGUCCUGCAGCCACUGUGUCUCAGCACAAUUCACACCAUGAAAAUCUAUAUAGGAGUCACCUUUUUUUUUUUUUUUUUGACAGGCAGAGUGGACAGUGAGAGAGAGAGACAGAGAGAAAGGUCUUUCUUUUGCCGUUGGUUCACCCUCCAAUGGCUGCCACAGCCGGUACAUCAUGCUGAUCCGAAGCCAGGAGCCAGGUGCUUCUCCUGGUCUCCCAUGGGGUGCAGGGCCCAAGCACUGGGGCCAUCCUCCACUGCAUUCCCGGGCCACAGCAGAGAGCUGGACAGGAAGAGGGGAAACUGGGACAGAAUCCAGCACCCCAACCGGGACUAGAACCCAGUGUGCCAGUGCUGCAGCCGGAGGAUUAGCCUAGUGAGCCGCGGCGCCUGCCAGGAGCCACCUUCUAAAACAGAUCCUCCUCAAGCUCAACAGUAGUGAAGACCAAGAAAAGGUGGACAUCAAGCAGGCCAUCGACAUGACUGCUGUGGCACAGUGGUUAGUGAAGCCGUCCACGGUGGUCAAAUGUUGGCAGAAGGCAGGCAUCAUCCCAGUAGAAUUCACAGAUUCUGACACAGGGGCAGCAGUCUGUGGAUCAGACAUUGCCACUGAGAAGCUCAGACAUUGCCACUGAGAAGCUGUGGCACUCAGUGGCUGUUGCCGUGUGUGUCCCCAGUAGAAUAAAGUUCCAGGACUUUUGUCGCUGCAAAUGAUGAUAUCAUCUCCCAGGAGCUGCUGGACCCAGGGCUUGGUGCUUGGUGAAAAUACUGGUGGAGCUGGGAGUGAGGAUGAGGAAGUAUCUUCACCUGAGCAGCCAAAAGCCACCAUUACAGAGGCCAUCUCAAGUGUGUAGAAACUUAGACAAUUCCUUUCCACCGUGUGGGUGUUACCGAUGCCAUGUUUGGACAGCUAAAUGGCACAGAUGAAUACUGAAUGAAAAGGGUGACAAACUCUGGUUGACUCCCAAAUCACAGAUUUCUUCCAAACAAAAUAGUGUAGGAAUUAACUGCCUCUUUUAUUUUAUUAAAUGUAGUUUACAAGAAUAAAGAUUUCUUUAGAUAGCAGAUUGAA
Non-coding RNA from Oryctolagus cuniculus (rabbit), 2648 nucleotides. Lineage: Eukaryota; Metazoa; Chordata; Mammalia; Lagomorpha; Leporidae. The record is from RefSeq and is a predicted model, not a curated record.